GCGAACGGGUGAGUAAUACAUCGGAACGUGUCCUGGAGUGGGGGAUAGCCCGGCGAAAGCCGGAUUAAUACCGCAUACGCUCUGAGGAGGAAAGCGGGGGAUCUUUCGGGACCUCGCGCUCAAGGGGCGGCCGAUGGCAGAUUAGCUAGUUGGUGGGGUAAAGGCCUACCAAGGCGACGAUCNGUAGCUGGUCUGAGAGGACGACCAGCCACACUGGGACUGAGACACGGCCCAGACUCCUACGGGAGGCAGCAGUGGGGAAUUUUGGACAAUGGGCGCAAGCCUGAUCCAGCAAUGCCGCGUGUGUGAAGAAGGCCUUCGGGUUGUAAAGCACUUUUGUCCGGAAAGAAAACUUCCGCCCUAAUACGGUGGGNGGAUGACGGUACCGGAAGAAUAAGCACCGGCUAACUACGUGCCAGCAGCCGCGGUAAUACGUAGGGUGCGAGCGUUAAUCGGAAUUACUGGGCGUAAAGCGUGCGCAGGCGGUUCGUUAAGACAGAUGUGAAAUCCCCGGGCUUAACCUGGGAACUGCAUUUGUGACUGGCNAACUGGAGUAUGGCAGAGGGGGGUAGAAUUCCACGUGUAGCAGUGAAAUGCGUAGAGAUGUGGAGGAAUACCGAUGGCGAAGGCAGCCCCCUGGGCCAAUACUGACGCUCAUGCACGAAAGCGUGGGGAGCAAACAGGAUUAGAUACCCUGGUAGUCCACGCCCUAAACGAUGUCAACUGGUUGUCGGGCCUUCAUUGGCUUGGUAACGUAGCUAACGCGUGAAGUUGACCGCCUGGGGAGUACGGUCGCAAGAUUAAAACUCAAAGGAAUUGACGGGGACCCGCACAAGCGGUGGAUGAUGUGGAUUAAUUCGAUGCAACGCGAAAAACCUUACCUACCCUUGACAUGUACGGAAGUCUGCCGAGAGGUGGAUGUGCCCGAAAGGGAGCCGUAACACAGGUGCUGCAUGG
Molecule: ribosomal RNA, 957 nt
Filed under: Paraburkholderia ribeironis
Lineage: Bacteria; Pseudomonadati; Pseudomonadota; Betaproteobacteria; Burkholderiales; Burkholderiaceae
Description: bacterial SSU rRNA
Rfam family: Bacterial small subunit ribosomal RNA
Source: RNAcentral